UAAUACGGAGGGUGCGAGCGUUGUCCGGAAUCACUGGGCGUAAAGGGCGCGUAGGCGGCCGUGUAAGUCACUUGUGAAAUCCCGGGGCUCAACUCCGGGGCUGCAGGUGAGACUGCGUGGCUAGAGCACGGUAGAGGCGAGUGGAAUUCCCGGUGUAGCGGUGGAAUGCGUAGAUAUCGGGAAGAACACCGGUGGCGAAGGCGGCUCGCUGGGCCGUUGCUGACGCUGAGGCGCGAAAGCGUGGGGAGCAAACA
Molecule: ribosomal RNA, 254 nt
Filed under: uncultured prokaryote
Description: partial 16S ribosomal RNA
Rfam family: Bacterial small subunit ribosomal RNA
Source: RNAcentral